AACGAACGCUGGCGGCAGGCUUAACACAUGCAAGUCGAGCGGGUGUAGCAAUACAUCAGUGGCAGACGGGUGAGUAACACGUGGGAACCUUCCUAGGGGUACGGAACAACUCAGGGAAACUUGAGCUAAUACCGUAUACGUCCGUGAGGAGAAAGAUUUAUCGCCCUUAGACGGGCCCGCGUCGGAUUAGCUAGUUGGUGGGGUAACGGCCUACCAAGGCGACGAUCCGUAGCUGAUCUGAGAGGAUGAUCAGCCACACUGGGACUGAGACACGGCCCAGACUCCUACGGGAGGCAGCAGUGGGGAAUCUUGGACAAUGGGCGCAAGCCUGAUCCAGCCAUGCCGCGUGAGUGAAGAAGGCCUUCGGGUUGUAAAGCUCUUUUGUCAGGGACGAUAAUGACGGUACCUGAAGAAUAAGCCCCGGCAAACUUCGUGCCAGCAGCCGCUGUAAAAC
This 454-nucleotide ribosomal RNA is filed under the name uncultured bacterium. Its description in RNAcentral is "bacterial SSU rRNA". It matches the Rfam family "Bacterial small subunit ribosomal RNA", at positions 29 to 526 of the family's 1533-position model. The record is from RNAcentral.